UCCCGGAUAGCUCAGUUGGUAGAGCAAGUGACUGUUAAUCACUGGGUCGCAGGUUCGAGUCCUGCUC
Molecule: transfer RNA, 67 nt
Filed under: Halomonas shengliensis
Lineage: Bacteria; Pseudomonadati; Pseudomonadota; Gammaproteobacteria; Oceanospirillales; Halomonadaceae
Description: tRNA_Asn_GTT
Rfam family: tRNA
About the family: Transfer RNA (tRNA) molecules are approximately 80 nucleotides in length. Their secondary structure includes four short double-helical elements and three loops (D, anti-codon, and T loops).
Source: RNAcentral